CCUACGGGAGGCAGCAGUGGGGAAUAUUGCACAAUGGGGGAAACCCUGAUGCAGCGACGCCGCGUGAGUGAAGAAGUAAUUCGUUACGUAAAGCUCUAUCAGCAGGGAAGAAACACUGACCUUACGGUCAGCAGACGGUACCUGAGUAAGAAGCCGCGGCUAACUACGUGCCAGCAGCCGCGGUAAAACGGAGGGGGCAAGCGUUAUCCGGGUUUACUGGGUGUAAAGGGAGCGUAGACGGUGAGCCAAGUCUGGAGUGAAAUGUAGCAGCUUAACUGCGGAACUGCUAUUGAGACUGGGGAACUAGAGUGCGGGAGGGGUAAGCGGAAUUCCUAGUGUAGCGGUGAAAUGCGUAGAUAUUAGGAGGAACACCGGUGGCGAAGGCGGCUUACUGGACCGUAACUGACGUUGAGGCUCGAAAGCGUGGGGAGCAAACAGGAUUAGAUACCCGGGUAGUC
This 458-nucleotide ribosomal RNA is filed under the name uncultured bacterium. RNAcentral's name for it is "partial 16S ribosomal RNA". It matches the Rfam family "Bacterial small subunit ribosomal RNA", at positions 338 to 795 of the family's 1533-position model. The record is from RNAcentral.